This 455-nucleotide ribosomal RNA is filed under the name Staphylococcus sp. GSSP0090. RNAcentral's name for it is "bacterial SSU rRNA". It matches the Rfam family "Bacterial small subunit ribosomal RNA", at positions 1 to 445 of the family's 1533-position model. Lineage: Bacteria; Bacillati; Bacillota; Bacilli; Caryophanales; Staphylococcaceae. The record is from RNAcentral.
UUUAUGGAGAGUUUGAUCCUGGCUCAGGAUGAACGCUGGCGGCGUGCCUAAUACAUGCAAGUCGAGCGAACAGAUAAGGAGCUUGCUCCUUUGACGUUAGCGGCGGACGGGUGAGUAACACGUGGGUAACCUACCUAUAAGACUGGGAUAACUUCGGGAAACCGGAGCUAAUACCGGAUAACAUUUGGAACCGCAUGGUUCUAAAGUGAAAGAUGGUUUUGCUAUCACUUAUAGAUGGACCCGCGCCGUAUUAGCUAGUUGGUAAGGUAAUGGCUUACCAAGGCGACGAUACGUAGCCGACCUGAGAGGGUGAUCGGCCACACUGGAACUGAGACACGGUCCAGACUCCUACGGGAGGCAGCAGUAGGGAAUCUUCCGCAAUGGGCGAAAGCCUGACGGAGCAACGCCGCGUGAGUGAUGAAGGGUUUCGGCUCGUAAAACUCUGUUAUUAGGGA